Molecule: long non-coding RNA, 272 nt
Filed under: Lathyrus oleraceus (garden pea)
Lineage: Eukaryota; Viridiplantae; Streptophyta; Magnoliopsida; Fabales; Fabaceae
Description: Pisum sativum (pea) long non-coding RNA (PSAT_LNC005105)
Source: RNAcentral
UAGGAUUGGAUCCUACCCAGCGAGGACGAGGUGAGUGCGCAAGAGCAAGAGCCAGAGCACGAAGAAGCCAGCCGCGUAAUGACGAGUAGUGAUUUUUGUUUCUUUUCUUUUUAUUUAUGUAUACUGUCGCAUUGAGGACAAUGCAUUAUUUAAAUGUGGGAGGAAAUCCUUAUCACUCAUCUACUUGUUUCUAUUGCUAAUAUUUUCAGCCAAUACAAUUUUUUUUGCUUGUCCUUUUCAAUCAUUUUUACAUAUUUUGGCAUAAUAAAAAA